This 468-nucleotide ribosomal RNA is filed under the name uncultured bacterium. RNAcentral's name for it is "partial 16S ribosomal RNA". It matches the Rfam family "Bacterial small subunit ribosomal RNA", at positions 28 to 507 of the family's 1533-position model. The record is from RNAcentral.
GACGAACGCUGGCGGCGUGCUUAACACAUGCAAGUCGAACGGAAAGGCCCUGCUUUUGUGGGGUGCUCGAGUGGCGAACGGGUGAGUAACACGUGAGUAACCUGCCCUUGACUUUGGGAUAACUUCAGGAAACUGGGGCUAAUACCGGAUAGGAGCUCCUGCUGCAUGGUGGGGGUUGGAAAGUUUCGGCGGUUGGGGAUGGACUCGCGGCUUAUCAGCUUGUUGGUGGGGUAGUGGCUUACCAAGGCUUUGACGGGUAGCCGGCCUGAGAGGGUGACCGGCCAAAUUGGGACUGAGCUGCGGCCCAGACUCCUAUGGGACGCAGCAGUGGGGAAUAUUGCACAAUGGGCGGAAGCAUGAUGCGGCAACGCCGCGUGCGGGAUGACGGCCUUCGGGUUGUAAACCGCUUUCGCCUGUGACGAAGCGUGAGUGACGGUAAUGGGUAAAGAAGCACCGGCUAACUACGUG